AGAAACUGGAGCAGCUCAUUUUAGAAGGAAAUAAAAUAUCAGGGAUAUGCUCCCCCUUGAGACUGAAGGAACUGAAGAUUUUAAACCUUAGUAAGAACCACAUUUCAUCCCUAUCAGAGAACUUUCUUGAGGCUUGUCCUAAAGUGGAGAGUUUCAGUGCCAGAAUGAAUUUUCUUGCUGCUAUGCCUUUCUUGCCUCCUUCCAUGACAAUCCUAAAAUUAUCUCAGAACAAAUUUUCAUGUAUUCCAGAAGCAAUUUUAAAUCUUCCACACUUGCGGUCUUUAGAUAUGAGCAGCAAUGAUAUUCAGUAUCUACCAGGUCCUGCACACUGGAAAUCUUUGAACUUAAGGGAACUCUUAUUUAACCAUAAUCAGAUCAGCAUCUUGGACUUGAGUGAAAAAGCAUAUUUAUGGUCUAGAGUAGAGAAACUGCAUCUUUCUCACAAUAAACUGAAAGAGAUUCCUCCUGAGAUUGGCUGUCUUGAAAAUCUGACAUCUCUGGAUGUCAGUUACAACUUGGAACUAAGAUCCUUUCCCAAUGAAAUGGGGAAAUUAAGCAAAAUAUGGGAUCUUCCUUUGGAUGAACUGCGUCUUAACUUUGAUUUUAAACAUAUAGGAUGUAAAGCCAAAGACAUCAUAAGGUUUCUUCAACAGCGGUUAAAAAAGGCUGUGCCUUAUAACCGAAUGAAACUUAUGAUUGUGGGAAAUACUGGGAGUGGUAAAACCACCUUAUUGCAGCAAUUAAUGAAAACCAAGAAAUCAGAUCUUGGAAUGCAAGGUGCCACAGUCGGCAUAGAUGUGAAAGACUGGCCUAUCCAAAUAAGAGGCAAAAGAAAGAGAGAUCUCGUCCUAAAUGUGUGGGAUUUUGCAGGUCGUGAGGAAUUCUACAGUACUCAUCCCCAUUUUAUGACGCAGCGAGCAUUGUACCUUGCUGUCUAUGACCUCAGCAAGGGACAGGCUGAGGUUGAUGCCAUGAAGCCUUGGCUCUUCAAUAUAAAGGCUCGCGCUUCUUCUUCCCCUGUGAUUCUUGUUGGCACACAUUUGGAUGUUUCUGAUGAGAAGCAACGCAAAGCCUGCAUAAGUAAAAUCACCAAGGAACUCCUGAAUAAGCGAGGGUUCCCUGCCAUACGAGAUUACCACUUUGUGAACGCCACCGAGGAAUCUGAUGCUUUGGCAAAACUUCGGAAAACCAUCAUAAACGAGAGCCUUAAUUUCAAGAUCCGAGAUCAGCUUGUUGUUGGACAGCUGAUUCCAGACUGCUAUGUAGAACUUGAGAAAAUCAUUUUAUCGGAGCGUAAAAACGUGCCAGUUGAAUUUCCUGUAAUUGACCAGAAAAGAUUAUUACAACUAGUGAGAGAAAAUCAGCUGCAGUUAGAUGAAAAUGAACUUCCUCACGCAGUUCACUUUCUAAAUGAAUCAGGAGUCCUUCUUCAUUUUCAAGACCCAGCACUGCAGUUAAGUGACUUGUACUUUGUGGAACCCAAGUGGCUUUGUAAAAUCAUGGCACAGAUUUUGACGGUGAAAGUGGAAGGUUGUCCAAAACACCCUAAGGGAAUUAUUUCGCGUAGAGAUGUGGAAAAAUUUCUUUCAAAGAAAAGGAAAUUUCCAAAGAACUACAUGUCACAGUAUUUUAAGCUCCUAGAAAAAUUCCAGAUUGCUUUGCCAAUAGGAGAAGAAUAUUUGCUGGUUCCAAGCAGUUUGUCUGACCACAGGCCUGUGAUAGAGCUUCCCCAUUGUGAGAACUCUGAAAUUAUCAUCCGACUAUAUGAAAUGCCUUAUUUUCCAAUGGGAUUUUGGUCAAGAUUAAUCAAUCGAUUACUUGAGAUUUCACCUUACAUGCUUUCAGGGAGAGAACGAGCACUUCGCCCUAACAGAAUGUAUUGGCGACAAGGCAUUUACUUAAAUUGGUCUCCUGAAGCUUAUUGUCUGGUAGGAUCUGAAGUCUUAGACAAUCAUCCAGAGAGUUUCUUAAAAAUUACAGUUCCUUCUUGUAGAAAAGGCUGUAUUCUUUUGGGCCAAGUCGUGGACCACAUUGAUUCUCUCAUGGAAGAAUGGUUUCCUGGGUUGCUGGAGAUUGAUAUUUGUGGUGAAGGAGAAACUCUGUUGAAGAAAUGGGCAUUAUAUAGUUUUAAUGAUGGCGAAGAACAUCAAAAAAUCUUACUUGAUGACUUGAUGAAGAAAGCAGAGGAAGGAGAUCUCUUAGUAAAUCCAGAUCAACCAAGGCUCACCAUUCCAAUAUCUCAGAUUGCCCCUGACUUGAUUUUGGCUGACCUGCCUAGAAAUAUUAUGUUGAAUAAUGAUGAGUUGGAAUUUGAACAAGCUCCAGAGUUUCUCCUAGGUGAUGGCAGUUUUGGAUCAGUUUAUCGAGCAGCCUAUGAAGGAGAAGAAGUGGCUGUGAAGAUUUUUAAUAAACAUACAUCACUUAGGCUGUUAAGACAAGAGCUGGUGGUGCUUUGCCACCUCCACCACCCCAGUUUGAUAUCUUUGCUGGCAGCUGGGAUUCGUCCCCGGAUGUUGGUGAUGGAGUUAGCCUCCAAGGGUUCCUUGGAUCGCCUGCUUCAGCAGGACAAAGCCAGCCUCACUAGAACCCUACAGCACAGGAUUGCACUCCAUGUAGCUGACGGUUUGAGAUACCUCCACUCAGCCAUGAUUAUAUACCGAGACUUGAAACCCCACAAUGUGCUGCUUUUCACCCUGUAUCCCAAUGCUGCCAUCAUUGCAAAGAUUGCUGACUACGGCAUUGCUCAGUACUGCUGUAGAAUGGGGAUAAAAACAUCAGAGGGCACACCAGGGUUUCGUGCACCUGAAGUUGCCAGAGGAAAUGUCAUUUAUAACCAACAGGCUGAUGUUUAUUCAUUUGGUUUACUACUCUAUGACAUUUUGACAACCGGAGGUAGAAUAGUAGAGGGUUUGAAGUUUCCAAAUGAGUUUGAUGAAUUAGCAAUACAAGGAAAAUUACCUGAUCCAGUUAAAGAAUAUGGUUGUGCCCCAUGGCCUAUGGUUGAGAAAUUAAUUAAAAAGUGUUUGAAAGAAAAUCCUCAAGAAAGGCCUACUUCUGCCCAGGUCUUUGACAUUUUGAAUUCAGCUGAAUUAGUCUGUCUGAUGAGACGCAUUUUAUUACCUAAAAAUGUAAUUGUUGAAUGCAUGGUUGCUACGCAUCACAACAGCAGGAAUGCAAGCAUUUGGCUGGGCUGUGGGCACACCGACAGAGGACAGCUCUCAUUUCUUGACUUAAAUACUGAAGGAUACACUUCUGAGGAAGUUGCUGAUAGUAGAAUAUUGUGCUUAGCCUUGGUGCAUCUUCCUGUUGAAAAGGAAAGCUGGAUUGUGUCUGGGACACAGUCUGGUACUCUCCUGGUCAUCAAUACCGAAGAUGGGAAAAAGAGACAUACCCUGGAAAAGAUGACUGAUUCUGUCACUUGUUUGUAUUGCAAUUCCUUUUCCAAGCAAAGCAAACAAAAAAAUUUUCUUUUGGUUGGAACCGCUGAUGGCAAUUUAGCAAUUUUUGAAGAUAAGACUGUUAAGCUUAAAGGAGCUGCUCCUUUGAAGAUACUAAAUAUAGGAAAUGUCAGUACUCCAUUGAUGUGUUUGAGUGAAUCCACAAAUUCAACGGAAAGAAAUGUAAUGUGGGGAGGAUGUGGCACAAAGAUUUUCUCCUUUUCUAAUGAUUUCACCAUUCAGAAACUCAUUGAGACAAGAACAAGCCAACUGUUUUCUUAUGCAGCUUUCAGUGAUUCCAACAUCAUAACAGUGGUGGUAGACACUGCUCUCUAUAUUGCUAAGCAAAAUAGCCCUGUUGUGGAAGUGUGGGAUAAGAAAACUGAAAAACUCUGUGAACUAAUAGACUGCGUGCACUUUUUAAGGGAGGUAACAGUAAAAGAAAACAAGGAAUCAAAACACAAAAUGUCUUAUUCUGGGAGAGUGAAAACCCUCUGCCUUCAGAAGAACACUGCUCUUUGGAUAGGAACUGGAGGAGGCCAUAUUUUACUCCUGGAUCUUUCAACUCGUCGACUUAUACGUGUAAUUUACAACUUUUGUGAUUCGGUCAGAGUCAUGAUGACAGCACAGCUAGGCAAGUUUCUUUCCUUUAGAUAUUUUUCAUAUUCUCUAAGUCUUAUAAAAUAUGCCUUUAUUUUAUGUUUAUAUUUUCUCUGAACUUUCCAGUGUCAUUUGGAUGGUCUUGGAGGGUCACACAGUGAAACAUAAGACUGGUGUAAAUUGUGAAUAGGGUCAUUACAGAAAUGGAGGGAGUAAAUGCUCUCAGUACCACAAGAGAAGCAGAUUACUGCAGCUGAACACUCAGUUUGGGUCUUACUUGCUUUUUUCCUUUUUACCUAAGGCAAAAAUGGGAAAUACAUGGUGUUGAAUAUAUUUUACUUUUUGAACAAAGAAAAUAAAGAAAUGUUUGUUUUAAUCAUAGUCUAGCCUCCCAGCUUGUUAAAGAAUCUCAUUUGGUUUUUCAUUCUAUAACAAAUCUUUACUCUUGCAGCAAUACGUGCUGAACCGCACAACCUACAAAUAUUGACAAAUCAUAUUUUACUCAAACUUUGUCUUUUUUUGCUUCUAUUUUUCUAUUUAAAUAUGAUGAAAUCAUGAUAGCACAUAAAAUAUAUUUUCUGCAUAAAUAUAUUUGUGUUUUUCUUUGAUAAUAAUUUGUUUUAGAAAGUAACAAUAAUAGCAUAAAUACAAAAGUUUACAAAAACAACACUAUGGGGUUUAAUUCUGAAAAAAACUAGAAUUUAUGUAACUUUAGCAAAUAAUGAAUGUUUUGAACAUGGUGAAGAAAAUAGAUUCAUUGUCAAGUAUGUGUGAAAGAGGAACAUGUGUUUCUAUAGCACCUUCACCUAUUUUUCAUUUAUAGACUUUAGAGUUGCACAGAAGGAGUUAGAAUUAGAUGCUCUUAAUGACUGUGAACUAUUAAGAUACAUGUCCACACAAGCAGAGCAGUAGGUCUCUCGGUCUGUCAAUAGGUUGUCUCCGUAGUCUUAUUCUACCGAAGUUGUUGCAUUCUCUAGUUGAAUUGUAUGUACUUUGGGACCCAAAUAGCUUGCUUAUAACUGAAGUUAUAGUGGAAUUUCAAUGGGUUAUAGUUUGAUUUUAAAAUAAAGAUCAAUUUGAAGAUAGCCUACAAGGUGCUGCAUGAGCUGGCUUCACUGUACCUCUCCUGCCUCCAUCAUCCACCACAUUCCUACCAGAUCUUUCUUGUCUAGAUGAACAUGCAGUUCUUCUCAAUUACUGUGCUGUAUUUUGCCUCAGGGAUUUGCACGUGCUGUUUAUUUCUUUGCUUAGUUAACGUAGCUUUUUUUCAUGCUUAGUUAACUCAUACGCUUUGAAAUGUUAGCUCCUGUGUCAAAACCUCUGAGAAGCCAACACUGAUUAGGUCAACGUUCCCACUUUGGGUUCCCAUAACAGCUUCCUUGCAUAGUUUAGAUCAUAGUCAUAUAUAUAUAUUUUUUCAUUAAUGCUAGUCUCUUCACUAGAAUAUAAACUCCAAGACGGUUGGGUUAGUGUGUUUUUGUUUACCCCUUUAUUCCCAGGAUCUAGCCUAGGGCCUACAUAGAAGACUUUUGAUGCAAAUUUGUUGAAUAAAUUAGUGAAUGAUUUGAAAAGAAAAUAUGAUAUUUUGACAUAGUAUCAGUAUAUCCAUCCAUCUAAGUGUCCAUCUAAAUACUCAUAUUUGUACCUUACCAUAUCCAAAGAACUUUUCACGCACAUUACCUCGUUUAACAUUUUAACUUUGGGAAGGGUAGUGUAUAAAUACUAAGCCUAUUUUAUAGAAAGGUUAAGCUGUUUUCUCAGACUCACAUAAUUAAGAAUUGCAGCAAGGAGUGGAUCACAGAUUUUGUUAUUUUUUAAAAAAAUGGUCUUUAUUCAAUAUAAUUGAAGGGUCACCUAGAAAAUAGAAUUGUGAAUUCAGUUCCAAGGUAUUUGUGUCUUAAACUAUGAACAACUUUACUUUUUUUUCAGGCCAGUUUAAUGUAUAGUUUUAACAGAAAACUUACGUAUUUUGUUUUGUAAAGGAAGCCUUAAAAAUGUCAUGCUGGUAUUGGGCUACAAUCGGAAAAGUACUGAAGGUACACAACAGCAGAAAGGUAACAUUUAGAAGGAUACUGUUUUCCAAACAGGGCAAUGACGUGAAUGAUGGUAACAUAUUAUGUGUUUCAUAAAUUUGUAGAAAAUAUUACAUAUGGUAUAAUCAGGAAUUUUAAUUGGUAGUUUAUAGUGUAAAGAACUUAGACAUAAAUUUUCAAAAUUACAAGUAAUACGAAGUGUUAAAUAUUUAUAUUUUCAGAUGAAGUAGAGGUGUCAAUCACUAGCUCAACCUUAAACGAGAUGUGAAUAUUUUUUACAACUUAUCUGUAUCUACAUAAUGUCUAAUUUUGAACAGUGUUUGAAAAGCUUUUAUUUCUUUUAGAAUAUGAAAUGUUAAUUUAUUAAAUGUCCAUGAUCUUCUUGAAAUUUAGUAGUUUCUAUAAUGUAUUAUAAAACUUUUCCAAGUAUAGUUUUUUAUAAAUAAUAAUUUAGUACAUUAGUUAUCACUGUGUUUAUAUUUACAUUUAUCUAAGUCAGCUAAAAAUACAUGAGCCAAACUGAAAUAAAAUAAGAAUGUUUUAUGAUGGAUCUUUGAAACAUGAUUUCAUUUUUUUCUUUUUCUAGAGAUACAAUCUUGCUUGACUGUUUGGGACAUCAAUCUUCCACAUGAAGUGCAAAAUUUAGAAAAACACAUUGAAGUGAGAAAAGAAUUAGCUGAAAAAAUGAGAGGAACAUCUGUUGAAUAAGAGAGAAAUAGGAAUUGUCUUUGGAUAGGAAAAUUAUUCUCUUCUCUUGUAAAUAUUUAUUUUAAAAAUGUUCACAUGGAAAGGGUACUCACAUUUUUUGAAAUAGCUCAUGUGUAUAAAGGAAUGUUAUUAUUUUUAAUUUAAAUAUAUGUAAAGAUACUUACCAGUAAAUGUGUAUUUUAAAGAACUAUUUAAAACACAAUGUUAUAUUUCUUAUAAAUACCAGUUACUUUUGUUCAUUAAUUAAUGAAAAUAAAUCUGUGAAGUACCUAAUUUAAGUACUUAUACUAAAAUUUAUAAGGCCAAUAAUUUUUUGUUUUCUUGUCUGUAAUGGAGGUAAACUUUAUUUUAAAUUCUGUACUUAAGACAGGACUAUUGCUUGUUGAUUUUUCUAGAAAUCUGCACGGUAUAAUGAAAAUAUUGACAGUUUCCCAUGUAAUAUAUUCCUUCUUAGAUUGCAUCGAAAUGCACUAUCAUAUAUGCUUGUAAAUAUUCAAAUGAAUUUGCACUAAUAAAGUCCUUUGUUGGUAUGUGAAUUCUCUUUGUUGCUGUUGCAAACAGUGCAUCUUAUACAACUUCACUCAAUCCAAAAGAAAACUCCAUUAAAAGUACUAAUGAAAAAACAUGACAUACUGUCAAAGUCCUCAUAUCUAGGAAAGACACAGAAACUCGCUUUGUCACAGAAACUCUCUGUGUCUUUCCUAGACAUAAUAGAGUUGUUUUUGAACUCUAUCUUUGAAUGUGGAUACCCUGAAUUUUGUAUUAGUGUAAAUACAGUGUUCAGUCCUACAAGUGAUAUUUUUAUUUUUUUAUUCAUACCACUAGCUACUUGUUUUCUAAUCUGCUUCAUUCUAAUGCUUAUAUUCAUCUUUUCCCUACAUUUGUGGUGCUGCAGAUCCUACAUCAUUCAGAUAGAAACCUUUUUUUUUUUUCAGAAUUAUAGAAUUCCACAGCUCCUACCAAGACCAUGAGGACAAAUAUCUAACACUUUUCAGUUGCUGAAGGAGAAAGGAGCUUUAGUUAUGACGGAUAAAAAUAUCUGCCACCCUAGGCUUCCAAAUUAUACUUAAAUUGUUUACAUAGCUUACCACAAUAGAAGUACCAGGGCCAAAUACCUAUGUAAUAAUUUGAGGUCAUUUCUGCUUUAGGAAAAGUACUUUUGGUAAAUUCUUUGGCCCUGACCAAUAUUCAUUAUUUCAGACAAUUCCCUGUGAUAGGACAACUAGUACAUUUAAUAUUAUCAGAACUUAUGGCAUUUUACUAUGUGAAAACUUUAAAUUUAUUUAUAUUAAGGGUAAUCAAAUUCUUAAAGAUGAAAGAUAUUCUGUAUUUUAAAGGAAGCUAUGCUUUAACUUGUUAUGUAAUUAACAAAAAAACAUAUAUAAUAGAGCUCUUUGUUCCAGUGUUAUCUCUUUCAUUGUUACUUUGUAUUUGCAUUUUUUUUUUACCAAAGACAAAUUUAAAAAAUGAAUACCGUAUUUAAAUGGAAUAAUAAAGUUUUUAA
This 8282-nucleotide small RNA is filed under the name Pongo abelii (Sumatran orangutan). Its description in RNAcentral is "retained intron". The record is from RNAcentral. Lineage: Eukaryota; Metazoa; Chordata; Mammalia; Primates; Hominidae.